Molecule: ribosomal RNA, 253 nt
Filed under: uncultured bacterium
Lineage: Bacteria
Description: partial 16S ribosomal RNA
Rfam family: Bacterial small subunit ribosomal RNA
Source: RNAcentral
UACGGGGGGAGCAAGCGUUGUUCGGAAUUACUGGGCGUAAAGGGCGUGUAGGCGGCCGACUAAGUCGGGGGUGAAAUCCACUGGCUCAACCAGUGACGUGCCUUCGGGACUGGACGGCUUGAGUAUGGCAGAGGGAAGCGGAAUUCCAGGUGUAGCGGUGAAAUGCGUAGAUAUCUGGAAGAACACCGGUGGCGUAGGCGGCUUCCUGGGCCAAUACUGACGCUGAUGCGCGAAAGCCAGGGGAGCAAACGGG